UUAUAAUGUAGGCCAAUGUAUGGUUAUAGUAAGUGGUUUUUAGAAACUAUAUGCAUUAAGAUAUAACAAUCCAUAAGCAGAGAGAAUAUUGAACAAACAAAAAGUAAGGAAUAUGAACUGAUCCUAUAUGCGAUGAGCAAAUAUAAGAUUAUGCACAAGCUAGCCAAAAAGGCAAAGAAGAAGCUGACUUAUAAGUGGCACCUAACCUUAUAUAAUUGCCUUAGAAAUGAAAAGGAUGAAAGAAGGAAUGAUCAGAAAUCAGGUGUGUACGAGAUACUUAUUAAGAAUAAUACAGCAGAUAAGGAAGAAGUUUACAUAGGUAUCACAGCAAGGACACUUCAAUAGAGAUUGAGGGAGCAUGAAUGAGAUAUAAAUAAAGGAAGAAUGAGUACAGCACUAGCAUCUCAUGCAUAUGAAAACGACGUGCAAGUGAAAUGGUAAGAAGCUAGGAUAGUAACAUUGCUGAGAAAGGAGAAACAUGCAAUGAUAGUGGAGACUAUGGAGAUUUUUAUAAGAGGGAAAGAGAGAGACCUGGUGAAUGACUACCCCAUGCAAUAAUUAUCAGCACUAUGGAAGUACCUUUUAAGCAACAUGACCCACUAGCCUUAAGUGAAUGUUAUUAGCAAUAGUGAAUGUGUCUCCAGCGACUGUUGUAUGCCAGAGCUUUAGGAUUAAAAUUUGAACCUUUAUUUAUUUAUAUUAUUUAUUGGUUAUUUAACCAUAUAUUUAUAAAGCAGCAGUCACAUCUUGCAAUUUUUGGCUGUGACUGUGACCGGAAUUGGCUCUUCUUUCUAACUCGUAAACCCUCUCUGAAUUGUUGGUCGCUGAUGCGACGUCACUCGUCAACAAAAAUUUUGUUCUUAUGGCGAUGGUCGUAACUGCACAUUCAAUGAGAAGCUCUCUUUCUCUGACAUGAUCAGCGGUAAACUCAAAACCAAAUGGCC
Molecule: long non-coding RNA, 944 nt
Filed under: Androctonus crassicauda
Lineage: Eukaryota; Metazoa; Arthropoda; Arachnida; Scorpiones; Buthidae
Source: RNAcentral